RNAcentral lists this ribosomal RNA (1427 nucleotides) under Kocuria sp. NE3TP3. Its description in RNAcentral is "bacterial SSU rRNA". It matches the Rfam family "Bacterial small subunit ribosomal RNA". Lineage: Bacteria; Bacillati; Actinomycetota; Actinomycetes; Micrococcales; Micrococcaceae. The record is from RNAcentral.
GGUUGCUUAACACAUGCAAGUCAAACGAUGAUGCCCAGCUUGCUGGGCGGAUUAGUGGCGAACGGGUAAGUAAUACGUGAGUAACCUGCCCUUGACUCUGGGAUAAGCCUGGGAAACUGGGUCUAAUACUGGAUACUACCUCUUACCGCAUGGUGGGUGGUGGAAAGGGUUUUACUGGUUUUGGAUGGGCUCACGGCCUAUCAGCUUGUUGGUGGGGUAAUGGCUCACCAAGGCGACGACGGGUAGCCGGCCUGAGAGGGUGACCGGCCACACUGGGACUGAGACACGGCCCAGACUCCUACGGGAGGCAGCAGUGGGGAAUAUUGCACAAUGGGCGGAAGCCUGAUGCAGCGACGCCGCGUGAGGGAUGACGGCCUUCGGGUUGUAAACCUCUUUCAGUAGGGAAGAAGCGAGAGUGACGGUACCUGCAGAAGAAGCGCCGGCUAACUACGUGCCAGCAGCCGCGGUAAUACGUAGGGCGCAAGCGUUGUCCGGAAUUAUUGGGCGUAAAGAGCUCGUAGGCGGUUUGUCGCGUCUGCUGUGAAAGCCCGGGGCUCAACCCCGGGUCUGCAGUGGGUACGGGCAGACUAGAGUGCAGUAGGGGAGACUGGAAUUCCUGGUGUAGCGGUGAAAUGCGCAGAUAUCAGGAGGAACACCGAUGGCGAAGGCAGGUCUCUGGGCUGUUACUGACGCUGAGGAGCGAAAGCAUGGGGAGCGAACAGGAUUAGAUACCCUGGUAGUCCAUGCCGUAAACGUUGGGCACUAGGUGUGGGGGACAUUCCACGUUUUCCGCGCCGUAGCUAACGCAUUAAGUGCCCCGCCUGGGGAGUACGGCCGCAAGGCUAAAACUCAAAGGAAUUGACGGGGGCCCGCACAAGCGGCGGAGCAUGCGGAUUAAUUCGAUGCAACGCGAAGAACCUUACCAAGGCUUGACAUUCACCGGACCGCCCCAGAAAAUGGGGUUUCCCUUCGGGGCUGGUGGACAGGUGGUUGCAUGGUUGUCGUCAGCUCGUGUCGUGAGAUGUUGGGUUAAGUCCCGCAACGAGCGCAACCCUCGUUCUAUGUUGCCAGCACGUGAUGGUGGGGACUCAUAGGAGACUGCCGGGGUCAACUCGGAGGAAGGUGGGGAUGACGUCAAAUCAUCAUGCCCCUUAUGUCUUGGGCUUCACGCAUGCUACAAUGGCCGGUACAAAGGGUUGCGAUACUGUGAGGUGGAGCUAAUCCCAAAAAGCCGGUCUCAGUUCGGAUUGAGGUCUGCAACUCGACCUCAUGAAGUCGGAGUCGCUAGUAAUCGCAGAUCAGCAACGCUGCGGUGAAUACGUUCCCGGGCCUUGUACACACCGCCCGUCAAGUCACGAAAGUUGGUAACACCCGAAGCCGGUGUCCUAACCCCUCGUGGGAGGGAGCCGUCGAUGGUGGGACUGGCG